UGUAAUUACUAUCUUUUCAUCGCCUUCUCAGAGUACAAAAGCUCUCUCUUUAGCGUCCGCUACAAGCGACUUUUAUUUCGAUAGGAGAUUUGCUUCCUCAACAUGUGUUUCUUUCUUCCCUGUACUUCCUUUGUUGCCACACAUCUGAUGAGAAAAAACCCCAUAGAGAACUGUGAUUUGUCCGAUUGAAGGCAGAAUUUCAGCGAGCGGAAGAGUUCGUUCGGAAUUUUCGCUCCGAUGCAUAAAAUUGUUUCGCCAAUUGAAAUUCUGCUCUCAACGCCUUCAAUUCGACCAAUCUCACUUGUAUAAGUUUUCGUUUCCGAUUUUUCGGCUUGAUUCUUCACUGAGCUCCUGUUCCAAAGCAGAAAAAGUCCUACACGUUCGAAAUUUCGAAAAAGAUGAAGUGAGAAAAUGGACGCCGUAGACACAGAGUUCGAUCCGGCGAAGGAGAGCUUUUGCCUAGUCAAGAAGUGCCACGAUACUUCUAAGAAUUCGCGAAGUUGACAUUUGGUACAGAUUUAGGAUUCGUGAUGACAGGAUUCAUCGGGUUCUUAAUGAAGCUUAUCUUAAUCCCUGUCAACAUCAACGUUGGAUCUGGCUAAUGAAGAUGAUCGAUUCUCUAAAAUAUGCAGUGAAGCAGAUGUGUGCAUCAAACAAUGACCUCGCAAUUUCAUGAAGUGGACACAAUGCGAGCUUGAAAUGGUCAGCGAGGUUUUCAUAUGCACAUUUUACGUAAGAGGCAGAAUCCACGGCAUCCAAUGGGGGGAAAUGCCAUUGCUAAGGGGACUCAGCCUCAUCUAAUCAUAUAAAGUUUGUUUUGAUGUCUACACAGAAGUGAUGGCAUAAUUGCAAGUGCCAUAGCAAGAGAUUACUGGAACUUGAUCUCUAGUCCAGAUCCCAUCAUCCAGGUCAGGUUGGAUUGGGCUAAAGAACAUUAGGGACUUUUGAAACAGUUUACUUUUGAUUGCCGGAGUUGUUAGGCCCAUUUGAAUUGGGCCUUCGGUUUGGGCCACUAUACCAUAAAGAUUUGGGCUUUUGGCCCAUUCAAAUUGAGCCUUGAUUUGGGCCAAUUUAAGCAGAUAAUUUGGGCUUCAGGUCCAUUCAAAUUGGGCCUUAGGUUCAGGCAAGUAUAUCCGUUAGAUUUGGGCUUUAGGCCCAUUCCAAUUGGGCCAUUAUAACCUGAAGAUUUAGGUUUUGCGCCCAUUUGAAUUGGGCCUCAGUUUGGGCCAUUAUUCCUAGAGAAUUUGGGCUUUUGGCCCAUUCUAAUUGGGAGCAGGGUUUGGGCCAAUGUACGUCGAGAAUUUGGGCUUUAUGCCCAUUGGAAUUGGGCCUCGUUGUGACCGCAUAUUGACUUAAGUCGGGCAUAGGAACAUGCAAACUUGGCUUCAAUAAUGGGUCUACUAUCUUUUUCUGCACUACGUUCAUUCAACUUAGAACAAGCCACCUUUAAAGCCCA
Tripterygium wilfordii is the source of this 1456-nucleotide long non-coding RNA. RefSeq lists it as uncharacterized. Lineage: Eukaryota; Viridiplantae; Streptophyta; Magnoliopsida; Celastrales; Celastraceae. The transcript is spliced from 6 exons. The record is from RefSeq and is a predicted model, not a curated record.